This 279-nucleotide unclassified non-coding RNA is filed under the name Hevea brasiliensis (rubber tree). Lineage: Eukaryota; Viridiplantae; Streptophyta; Magnoliopsida; Malpighiales; Euphorbiaceae. The record is from RNAcentral.
CUUUACUUCACCUGCCGUAAGUUUUGCAGCAAAUCCUGUGGCGACAUGGCGGUAGGAAUGUAUCAAACGCGGCUGGUUUGAGCUAAAUGCAUUCUCUGGUAAAAAUGAUUGAUACCAGCUAUAUAAAUCUUUGGACUUUGAGAAAUCAUUGCCCUCAGGUUUCUGUAAGAGGACAAUAUAAGUCUCUAUGUUGCUUUCCUCUUUCUCAAUUGCAUCACUAUUUGAUGAAUGGAUUGCUGACUUGGUGGUUGCUUGGGAAGAGCUAAAGAUUGAAGGAAG